GGCCCAAUGGUCUAGUAGUAUGAUUCGCGCUUCGGGCUAAGCAAAGCAAGCUGCGCGAGGUCCCGGGUUCAAUUCCCGGUUGGGCCC
This is a non-coding RNA of Pilatotrama ljubarskyi, 87 nucleotides long. Lineage: Eukaryota; Fungi; Basidiomycota; Agaricomycetes; Polyporales; Polyporaceae. The record is from the annotation of a GenBank genome assembly.